UACGUAGGUGGCAAGCGUUGUCCGGAUUUAUUGGGCGUAAAGCGCGCGUAGGUGGUUCGUUGCGUCCGAGGUGAAAUCUCCCGGCUCAACUGGGAGGGGUCUUCGGAUACGGGCGGACUUGAGGAGAGCAGAGGUAGGCGGAAUGCUGGGUGUAGUGGUGAAAUGCGUAGAUAUCCAGCGGAACACCAGUGGCGAAGGCGGCCUACUGGGCUCCACCUGACACUGAGGCGCGAAAGCGUGGGGAGCGAACCGG
RNAcentral lists this ribosomal RNA (253 nucleotides) under uncultured bacterium. RNAcentral's name for it is "partial 16S ribosomal RNA". It matches the Rfam family "Bacterial small subunit ribosomal RNA", at positions 524 to 776 of the family's 1533-position model. The record is from RNAcentral.